GAUGAACGCUGGCGGCGUGCCUAAUACAUGCAAGUCGAGCGAACAGACGAGGAGCUUGCUCCUCUGACGUUAGCGGCGGACGGGUGAGUAACACGUGGAUAACCUACCUAUAAGACUGGGAUAACUUCGGGAAACCGGAGCUAAUACCGGAUAAUAUAUUGAACCGCAUGGUUCAACAGUGAAAGACGGUUUUGCUGUCACUUAUAGAUGGAUCCGCGCCGCAUUAGCUAGUUGGUAAGGUAACGGCUUACCAAGGCAACGAUGCGUAGCCGACCUGAGAGGGUGAUCGGCCACACUGGAACUGAGACACGGUCCAGACUCCUACGGGAGGCAGCAGUAGGGAAUCUUCCGCAAUGGGCGAAAGCCUGACGGAGCAACGCCGCGUGAGUGAUGAAGGUCUUCGGAUCGUAAAACUCUGUUAUUAGGAAAGAACAAAUGUGUAAGUAACUAUGCACGUCUUGACGGUACCUAAUCAGAAAGCCACGGCUAACUACGUG
This 497-nucleotide ribosomal RNA is filed under the name uncultured bacterium. RNAcentral describes it as "partial 16S ribosomal RNA". It matches the Rfam family "Bacterial small subunit ribosomal RNA", at positions 28 to 507 of the family's 1533-position model. The record is from RNAcentral.